This 492-nucleotide ribosomal RNA is filed under the name uncultured bacterium. Its description in RNAcentral is "partial 16S ribosomal RNA". It matches the Rfam family "Bacterial small subunit ribosomal RNA", at positions 29 to 507 of the family's 1533-position model. The record is from RNAcentral.
AGUGAACGCUGGCGGUAGGCCUAACACAUGCAAGUCGAACGGCAGCACAGUAAGAGCUUGCUCUUACGGGUGGCGAGUGGCGGACGGGUGAGGAAUACAUCGGAAUCUACUUUUUCGUGGGGGAUAACGUAGGGAAACUUACGCUAAUACCUCAUACGACCUACGGGUGAAAGCAGGGGAUCUUCGGACCUUGCGCGAUUGAAUGAGCCGAUGUCGGAUUAGCUAGUUGGCGGGGUAAAGGCCCACCAAGGCGACGAUCCGUAGCUGGUCUGAGAGGAUGAUCAGCCACACUGGAACUGAGACACGGUCCAGACUCCUACGGGAGGCAGCAGUGGGGAAUAUUGGACAAUGGGCGAAAGCCUGAUCCAGCCAUACCGCGUGGGUGAAGAAGGCCUUCGGGUUGUAAAGCCCUUUUGUUGGGAAAGAAAAGCAGCAGGUUAAUCCACCGCUGUUCUGACGGUACCCAAAGAAUAAGCACCGGCUAACUUCGUG